This 544-nucleotide ribosomal RNA is filed under the name uncultured bacterium. Its description in RNAcentral is "bacterial SSU rRNA". It matches the Rfam family "Bacterial small subunit ribosomal RNA", at positions 38 to 562 of the family's 1533-position model. The record is from RNAcentral.
AGCGGCGGGCCUAACACAUGCAAGUCGAGCGAGAAAAGGGCUUCGGCUCUUAGUAAAGCGGCGGACGGGUGAGUAACACGUAGGUAAUCUUCCUUCGAGCGGGGGACAACGUUCCGAAAGGGACGCUAAUACCGCAUACGUUCUCCGGGACUCUGGUCCUGGAGAGGAAAGCUAGGUCAGCAAUGAUCCGGCACUCGAUGAGGAGCCUGCGUCGCAUCAGCUAGUUGGUGGGGUAACGGNCUACCAAGGCGAAGACGCGUAGCUGGUCUGAGAGGAUGAUCAGCCACACUGGGACUGAGACACGGCCCAGACUCCUACGGGAGGCAGNAGUGGGGAAUAUUGGACAAUGGGCGCAAGCCUGAUCCAGCCACGCCGCGUGAGUGAUGAAGGCCUUCGGGUCGUAAAGCUCUGUGGGGAGGGACGAACCGCCGUUGGUUAAUACCCAGCGGCAUGACGGUACCUCCUUAGCAAGCACCGGCUAACUUCGUGCCAGCAGCCGCGGUAAUACGAANGGUGCAAACGUUGCUCGGAAUUAUUGGGCGUA